CAAUAGGGAUCUCUAAGUAAGAUUUCCAGAUAUUUUACUACCUCCUCGCUCCUAAGUUAUCUGUUGCUUGGACCAAAAUAUAUCCUGAUCUUAUCCAGAGGAGUGCACCCUAAGUCAUCUCCCAUCGAUUCUUAUCUGAUCUGCCUGAAAAUAUCUCCAAUCAUGUACGAGGAUAGAACCUAUAAAUAGCCUAGCUCCCAUCUUCCAUCAGCCAUCGCUCGAUACAACCAAGUUAUCCCUGUUAGUUGUCUAGCCGUGAGCUACUGUACUGGUACAGAGUGCUUAGUUCAGAAGGAGGAGAAUAGAUUGUAGAGGCCACAAGGAGGAGAUAUUUCCAUCGUUGGAUUUACAAGGGCGAGCUAGGAGGGUGCUGGUUUGCCAACUAGAGGUACGGAGGAUACACAAAUUUAAUCAUCGAGGAUACUCAAGGCAAGCUGCGUAUACCAGAAUCUUCUUGUGUGCUUUGUAUUUCCUUCAUUCCUUGAUUGAUUUAUUUGAUUGCGAUGCUUAUAUGUGUAUUGUUUGCUAUAUCUCUAUAUCGGUAGAGCUAUUUCCUUUGCAUUUUCAGCAUAUGUUAAUUGUUGUAUAUUGGUCAAGAAGAUAAAAUAUGGGAUCAUAUAUCAACAAAUUGGUUGGUCAUAAUCAUGGAAAGUGUGGUGUAUCCAGCCUGAGACGGUCGAUACCUGAAAGGUGUGGGAUGGCAGGCCCGGAUGGGAAGGCCCACACAAGUAGGGUACUCGGCGACGUGAUUCUCAGAGAUCGAUAAUAUCACGAGGUGGGAUUAUGACAAUUGAUUUGCUGAUACUCUGCAGAGGUUUAACUAAAACUUGAGUUUUAUGUUACAUAUAUUAAGGAGGAUAUUCAUGUUGGUUGUACUUGGUUUAUGCCAAAAGGCGUUUAGUCGCUAUGAGGGCAUAUCGCACCCUGCUGAACUAUGUGUGUACAAUAGACUGUAAAAUCUGUAUAUUCUUGCUGAGUAUGUUUAACAUACUCAC
Molecule: long non-coding RNA, 995 nt
Organism: Lolium rigidum
Lineage: Eukaryota; Viridiplantae; Streptophyta; Magnoliopsida; Poales; Poaceae
Exons: 2
Source: RefSeq, a predicted model, not a curated record